RNAcentral lists this small RNA (116 nucleotides) under Histoplasma capsulatum G186AR. Its description in RNAcentral is "hypothetical RNA". Lineage: Eukaryota; Fungi; Ascomycota; Eurotiomycetes; Onygenales; Ajellomycetaceae. The record is from RNAcentral.
CUGUCAAUCUAUCUAUCACUGUCAAUUUAUCUAUCACUGUCAAUCUAUCUAUCACUGCUAAUCUAUUACUGCUAAUCUAUCACUGCUAAUCUAUCACUGCUAAUCUAUCACUGCUA